ACGAACGCUGGCGGCGUGCUUAACACAUGCAAGUCGAACGAUGAACCUGGAGCUUGCUCUAGGGGAUUAGUGGCGAACGGGUGAGUAACACGUGAGUAACCUGCCCUUGACUCUGGGAUAACCUCCGGAAACGGAAGCUAAUACCGGAUAUGACGUACGGAGGCAUCUCCUGUACGUGGAAAGAACUUCGGUCAAGGAUGGACUCGCGGCCUAUCAGGUAGUUGGUGAGGUAACGGCCCACCAAGCCUACGACGGGUAGCCG
Molecule: ribosomal RNA, 262 nt
Filed under: Leifsonia sp. ISOM386_OTU1136
Lineage: Bacteria; Bacillati; Actinomycetota; Actinomycetes; Micrococcales; Microbacteriaceae
Description: partial 16S ribosomal RNA
Rfam family: Bacterial small subunit ribosomal RNA
Source: RNAcentral